RNAcentral lists this ribosomal RNA (748 nucleotides) under Enterococcus faecium. Its description in RNAcentral is "bacterial SSU rRNA". It matches the Rfam family "Bacterial small subunit ribosomal RNA", at positions 48 to 768 of the family's 1533-position model. The record is from RNAcentral. Lineage: Bacteria; Bacillati; Bacillota; Bacilli; Lactobacillales; Enterococcaceae.
GCUAUACAUGCAGUCGAACGCUUCUUUUUCCACCGGAGCUUGCUCCACCGGAAAAAGAGGAGUGGCGAACGGGUGAGUAACACGUGGGUAACCUGCCCAUCAGAAGGGGAUAACACUUGGAAACAGGUGCUAAUACCGUAUAACAAUCGAAACCGCAUGGUUUUGAUUUGAAAGGCGCUUUCGGGUGUCGCUGAUGGAUGGACCCGCGGUGCAUUAGCUAGUUGGUGAGGUAACGGCUCACCAAGGCCACGAUGCAUAGCCGACCUGAGAGGGUGAUCGGCCACAUUGGGACUGAGACACGGCCCAAACUCCUACGGGAGGCAGCAGUAGGGAAUCUUCGGCAAUGGACGAAAGUCUGACCGAGCAACGCCGCGUGAGUGAAGAAGGUUUUCGGAUCGUAAAACUCUGUUGUUAGAGAAGAACAAGGAUGAGAGUAACUGUUCAUCCCUUGACGGUAUCUAACCAGAAAGCCACGGCUAACUACGUGCCAGCAGCCGCGGUAAUACGUAGGUGGCAAGCGUUGUCCGGAUUUAUUGGGCGUAAAGCGAGCGCAGGCGGUUUCUUAAGUCUGAUGUGAAAGCCCCCGGCUCAACCGGGGAGGGUCAUUGGAAACUGGGAGACUUGAGUGCAGAAGAGGAGAGUGGAAUUCCAUGUGUAGCGGUGAAAUGCGUAGAUAUAUGGAGGAACACCAGUGGCGAAGGCGGCUCUCUGGUCUGUAACUGACGCUGAGGCUCGAAAGCGUGGGGAG